UACGUAGGGUGCAAGCGUUAAUCGAAAUUACUGGGCGUAAAGCGUGCGCAGGCGGUUGUGCAAGACCGAUGUGAAAUCCCCGGGCUUAACCUGGGAAUGGCAUUUGGGACUGCAAGGCUGGAGUGCGGCAGAGGAGACUGGAAUUCCUGGUGUAGCAGUGAAAUGCGUAGAUAUCAGGAGGAACACCGAUGGCGAAGGCAGGUCUCUGGGCUGACACUGACGCCCAUGCACGAAAGCGUGGGGAGCAAACAGG
Molecule: ribosomal RNA, 253 nt
Filed under: uncultured bacterium
Lineage: Bacteria
Description: partial 16S ribosomal RNA
Rfam family: Bacterial small subunit ribosomal RNA
Source: RNAcentral